Molecule: ribosomal RNA, 292 nt
Filed under: uncultured bacterium
Lineage: Bacteria
Description: partial 16S ribosomal RNA
Rfam family: Bacterial small subunit ribosomal RNA
Source: RNAcentral
GUGUCAGCCGCCGCGGUAAGACGUAGGAUCCGAGCGUUGUCCGGAAUUACUGGGCGUAAAGCGCGCGCAGGCGGUAUCGCGCAUCGACGGUGAAAGCCCCCCGCUCAACGGGGGAGGGUCCGUCGAGAUGGCGAAACUGGAGGCAGGGAGAGGUCGGUGGAAUUCCGGGUGUAGUGGUGAAAUGCGUAGAGAUCCGGAGGAACACCAGUGGCGAAGGCGGCCGACUGGACCUGACCUGACGCUGAGGCGCGAAGGCGUGGGGAGCGAACGGGAUUAGAUACCCCCGUAGUCC